CUACGGGGUGCACCAGUGAGGAAUUUUGCGCAAUGGGGGCAACCCUGACGCAGCAACGCCGCGUGAGUGAAGAAGGCCCUUGGGUCGUAAAGCUCUGUCAAUGGGGAAGAAGUUACUUGGUAUUAAUAGUGCCUUGUAUUGACGGUACCCAUGAAGGAAGCACCGGCUAACUCCGUGCCAGCAGCCGCGGUAAUACGGGGGGUGCAAGCGUUAGUCGGAAUUAUUGGGCGUAAAGGGCACGCAGGCGAUCCUGUCAGUCAGAUGUGAAAGCCCGGGGCUCAACCCCGGACGUGCAUUUGAAACAGCAGGACUUGAGUACGGGAGAGGAAAGGGGAAUUCCUGGUGUAGAGGUGAAAUUCGUAGAUAUCAGGAGGAACACCGGUGGCGAAGGCGCCUUUCUGGACCGAUACUGACGCUGAGGUGCGAAGGCGUGGGUAGCGAACGGGAUUAGAUACCCGCGUAGUC
Molecule: ribosomal RNA, 465 nt
Filed under: uncultured bacterium
Lineage: Bacteria
Description: partial 16S ribosomal RNA
Rfam family: Bacterial small subunit ribosomal RNA
Source: RNAcentral